Molecule: ribosomal RNA, 253 nt
Filed under: uncultured bacterium
Lineage: Bacteria
Description: partial 16S ribosomal RNA
Rfam family: Bacterial small subunit ribosomal RNA
Source: RNAcentral
UACGGAGGGGGCUAGCGUUGUUCGGAAUUACUGGGCGUAAAGCGCGCGUAGGCGGCUUUGUAAGUCAGGGGUGAAAUCCCGGGGCUCAACCUCGGAACUGCCUUUGAUACUGAAGAUCUUGAGUUCGGGAGAGGUGAGUGGAACUGCGAGUGUAGAGGUGAAAUUCGUAGAUAUUCGCAAGAACACCAGUGGCGAAGGCGGCUCACUGGCCCGAUACUGACGCUGAGGCACGAAAGCGUGGGGAGCAAACAGG